GGCUGUUGCUGCUUCCGUCUACUGGGAUAUGUGCACGCUUGUCAUCUUUAUCAUUUCUCCAACUGUGCACAUNUUGUAGACCCUGGAGGUUAUUUGUUAUGGAUUUUAAUUCCGAGUUGGGACUGCUGUGCUACAAUGUCAGCUUUCUCUUGAGUUAUUUCCAGGGCCUAUGUCAUUUCAACCUCUCAAACCUGUUUAGAAUGUUGAAUCAGGUCUUUUGUACCUAUAAAAGUUAUAAUACAACUUUCAGCAACGGAUCUCUUGGCUCUCGCAUCGAUGAAGAACGCAGCGAAAUGCGAUAAGUAAUGUGAAUUGCAGAAUUCAGUGAAUCAUCGAAUCUUUGAACGCAUCUUGCGCUCCUUGGUAUUCCGAGGAGCAUGCCUGUUUGAGUGUCAUUUGAAUUCUCAACCGCAUCNAUUUAAUUUUUGAUGUGGCUUUGGACAUGGGGGUUUGUGCAGGCUUUCCUUUUGAGUCAGCUCCCCUGAAAUGUAUUAGUGGUAUCUGGAGCAGAAACUGCUAGGUGUGAUAAUAUCAUCUAUGCCUGUGGUAUGCUGCAUGAACAGAUUGUGCUGCUUCUAACACACAUCUUGAUGUUUGACAAACUUGACCUCAAAUCAGGUAGGACUACCCGCUGAACUUAAGCAUAUCAAUAA
Molecule: ribosomal RNA, 653 nt
Filed under: uncultured Inocybe
Lineage: Eukaryota; Fungi; Basidiomycota; Agaricomycetes; Agaricales; Cortinariaceae
Description: eukaryotic LSU rRNA
Rfam family: 5.8S ribosomal RNA (bases 242-395)
Source: RNAcentral